CUGGGUUAGUCGGGACCUAAGGAGAGACCGAAGGGUGUAUCCGAUGGCCAACAGGUUGAUAUUCCUGUACUAGAGUAUGAAGUGAUGGAGGGACGCAGUAGGCUAACUAAAGCAGACGACUGGAAGAGUCUGUCUAAGCAGUGAGGCGUGGUAUGAGUCAAAUGCUUAUACCUAUAACGUUGAGCUGUGAUGGGGAGCGAAGUUUAGUAGCGAAGUUAGUGAUGUCACACUGCCAAGAAAAGCUUCUAGCGAUGUAUCAUACUCUACCCGUACCGCAAACCGACACAGGUAGUCGA
RNAcentral lists this ribosomal RNA (296 nucleotides) under Streptococcus gordonii. RNAcentral describes it as "partial 23S ribosomal RNA". It matches the Rfam family "Bacterial large subunit ribosomal RNA", at positions 1375 to 1670 of the family's 2925-position model. The record is from RNAcentral. Lineage: Bacteria; Bacillati; Bacillota; Bacilli; Lactobacillales; Streptococcaceae.